GGAACACCCCCACCUUGCGUCGUUCUUCAACAAAAGAACACCCUUCAGCCGUUGAACACACACCCCCCCUAGCCGUUACCCCAUUCUUCAACACAAACAAAAAACCUUUGAACUUCCAACGCUACAGAACGGAGAAAUACCUCUCAUCCCUUCUCCAAAAUCAACGCCACUGCCCCUCCAGCCAAGCCCAGACGCCGCUCACACCACCUUUGUACACCAUAGCUCCUUCUUCUUCAACUCACAGCAGACCGGUUGCUGCUCUUUCACCACCAGAAAUGGCCAGAAACCGGCAACCACUCACACACGAACAGUAAGAGGAAUAGAGUGGAUAUGGAUCUUGUUGUUUGAUUUCCUUGCUUGUAUCACAUCCGGACAGAAGUUUUAAUUGAAAUCCUCUUAAAGGUUCAUUCUUUUUCC
Nicotiana tabacum (common tobacco) is the source of this 417-nucleotide long non-coding RNA. RefSeq lists it as uncharacterized. NCBI's taxonomy places the organism in Eukaryota, Viridiplantae, Streptophyta, Magnoliopsida, Solanales, Solanaceae. The record is from RefSeq and is a predicted model, not a curated record.